RNAcentral lists this transfer RNA (900 nucleotides) under Mesorhizobium sp. 102-Evora. Its description in RNAcentral is "partial contains 16S-23S ribosomal RNA intergenic spacer and 23S ribosomal RNA". The stretch from base 256 to 329 matches the Rfam family "tRNA". The record is from RNAcentral. Lineage: Bacteria; Pseudomonadati; Pseudomonadota; Alphaproteobacteria; Hyphomicrobiales; Phyllobacteriaceae.
AGAUGAUGGGCCUCUGCCUUUCAGUUCUCUUGGAACAAGACGGCAAGAGAGUCACUCUUACCGUCGCGCAUACCUUAAGCGGGUCUGCCGCCUUCGUUUCUCUUUCUUCAGCGAAUGACUUUUGGAUUGCGCUCGCGCGCCGUGUCGCACCCUUCGGGUGCUGGCGCUCCGCGAGGGCGCGGCACGAGCCGCGACGGCCGGUCGGCCUUGCGAGGCUCUGCCUCGAAGCCGACUACCAUCUGCGCUUGGGGCUAAGGGCUUGUAGCUCAGUUGGUUAGAGCGCGCGCUUGAUAAGCGUGAGGUCGGAGGUUCAAGUCCUCCCAGGCCCACCACUUCCUUUCGACACGAAGGUUAUCAGGGGCCGUAGCUCAGCUGGGAGAGCGCCUGCUUUGCAAGCAGGAUGUCGUCGGUUCGAUCCCGUCCGGCUCCACCACUUGCGUAACCGCGAAGGGAUUGUCGCGGUUCGCGACGAUCCUGCGGAUCGCGCGGAGGUGUCGAGUGGAGGUGGGAGAAAAAAGUCAUUCGUAUAAAGAUUUGUGGUGGGCUUCUUGGCUUGCCGCUUGUUCUGUUUUGACAUUGUAAAGAGAAGAUUUGUUCGAACUUCAUGGAUCGCAAGGUUCAUGAUUUGUCGCGGGAGACGCUCAAUCUCCCGCAUAUGAUGGGUUUGCCUAACCGCGCCCUCGAACCGAUCUCGAGAAGCUGGUCUUUUUGUGCCAAUGACAUCGAAUUGGAUCCCGCACAGGAUCUGGUUCAGGUGCAAUCCUUUGGAUUGCGCGGACGCUGAACUCGCAAGGGUUUGGCUGAAGCGGCAAUCCCUUUGGGAUUGCGCGGGUGAGCAUUGGCAAUGAGAACGAUCAAGUGUCUUAAGGGCAAUUGGUGGAUGCCUUGGCAUGCACAGGC